CCAGACUCCUACGGGAGGCAGCAGUGGGGAAUAUUGGACAAUGGACCAAGAGUCUGAUCCAGCAAUUCUGUGUGCACGAUGAAGUUUUUCGGAAUGUAAAGUGCUUUCAGUUGGGAAGAAAAAAAUGACGGUACCAACAGAAGAAGUGACGGCUAAAUACGUGCCAGCAGCCGCGGUAAUACGUAUGUCACAAGCGUUAUCCGGAUUUAUUGGGCGUAAAGCGCGUCUAGGUGGUUAUAUAAGUCUGAUGUGAAAAUGCAGGGCUCAACUCUGUAUUGCGUUGGAAACUGUGUAACUAGAGUACUGGAGAGGUAAGCGGAACUACAAGUGUAGAGGUGAAAUUCGUAGAUAUUUGUAGGAAUGCCGAUGGGGAAGCCAGCUUACUGGACAGAUACUGACGCUGAAGCGCGAAAGCGUGGGUAGCAAACAGGAUUAGAUACCCUGGUAGUCCACGCCGUAAACGAUGAUUACUAGGUGUUGGGGGUCGAACCUCAGCGCCCAAGCAAACGCGAUAAGUAAUCCGCCUGGGGAGUACGUACGCAAGUAUGAACUCAAAGGAAUUGACGGGGGCCCGCACAAG
RNAcentral lists this ribosomal RNA (580 nucleotides) under uncultured bacterium. Its description in RNAcentral is "bacterial SSU rRNA". It matches the Rfam family "Bacterial small subunit ribosomal RNA", at positions 331 to 929 of the family's 1533-position model. The record is from RNAcentral.